Scylla paramamosain (green mud crab) is the source of this 2225-nucleotide long non-coding RNA. RefSeq lists it as uncharacterized. The transcript is spliced from 8 exons. The record is from RefSeq and is a predicted model, not a curated record. NCBI's taxonomy places the organism in Eukaryota, Metazoa, Arthropoda, Malacostraca, Decapoda, Portunidae.
UCAGAGAAGCUGGAAUGGUCAUUCAGCCACUCAAGGUCGUUCAGCAUCAGCAUUCUUGAAAAUAUCUCCAGUGAAGAUAUUCAGUGUCUUGCCUUUGUUGACACCUACAUCAGGAAAAAUGGGACGCCCCCAAAGGCUGGCAUGGACGCUGGGACAGACUCAAGGAUGUCCCUGACCAACUUCGGGGCAGGCCAGGGGUGUCAGACUCAGGGGGGAUGCAAACUCCACCUCCAAGUUCGUGGACCGACCGCCAGUUUGUGGUGAUUGCCUCUGAGAAGGUUGCAUGGCUGGUGUCAUUGUCCACCCAAAAUUGUGUUUUUAAGCAGAUUCUGACUGACGUGUUUUUCGUUGUGAACGCGGACAUGGUCACCAUCAAAGGUUAGGAACCGUGAUGGUGGUAGUUGGGGGCUGGGUGGGAAGGGGGGUAGGUUAGGUUAGGUUAGGUCAGUUAGGGUAGUAAUGCUUUAAGUUACGUUUGGUUGGGUUAGGGUAGUAGUAGUAGUUGUAGUAGUAGUAGUAGUAGUAGUAGUAGUAGUAGUAAUAGUAGUAGUAGCAGUAGUAGUAGUAGUAGUAGUAGUAGUAGUAGUAGUAGUAGUAGUAGUAGCAGUAGUAGUAGUAGCAGUAGUAGUAGUAGUAGUAGUAGUAGUAGUAGUAGUAGUAGUAGUAGUAGUAGUAGUAGUAGUAGUAGUGUACUGAGAAUAGCUCAGUAUGUCCUACUGGUCAAGUUUUCUUUGAAUUGAAUAGAUAAAUUGUACUAUUAUAACUAUAUUAUUGUUAUUGUAUUAACUAAAUUUGUAAUUUUCUUAUGUUUUGCAUACAAUUUGUACUAUUAUUUUGCUAAUGAGAUAUUGUAUUUCGCUCUCUCGUUUCGGCAUGCGCUUGUCUCUGUUCUUGUGUGUAAAAUUGUGACGUAGGAAUUGAGUGACGUGGACAGGAUGGAAAUGUUGUCCAUGCCGUCAGCUAGCGGCCCCUCAUUGUUUCUCGGGUGGUGACGACUGGUGGAGGUGUUGGGGCAAGGGUUGCAGUGCCCAGGUGUGGGGCAGAGAUUUAAUGUUGGUGAUCCUGGAGCUGUGUGGCACAGGGUCCAGUCUCAAAAUGUUAUGCCGGAGUACAACAUUGUGCUAGUAAUUGUGACCCUGAAGCUGUGAAAAGUGAUCUCAACUCCAGUUUCACCUGUGUGCUGAUAGGGGAGGCACUGCCAUCUCCCUGGUGUGUUACAUCGCCUCAGGUCACGUGUCAGUGUUCAGCUUGUCCAGUCUCCGCCAGCUCAUUUACAUUGAUUUCCUUCCUCUAGUCAUCCUCAGGAGAGAGCAUCCCACAGAUGAAGGAGGGCAUUUCUGUCCCGGACGACCCUAGGAUAGUCACGGAUAGUCAGGAUAGUCGACUACUGGACCUGACUACUGACUCCAGGCUGUACAUCUCUAUGGCGGCACCAGAAUAGUCCAGCACACUCCGCUUAUCAAGACAACUACUGGCCUGAGAGCCCCAAAUAGUGGGUGUGUCUGGUGCGUGCUGAGGACAAGGCAGACUACUCAAGACUAUCCUGUGUGCCUGUGGCCUGUGUGUCGAGCCACGUCCAAUAGCCUUUUUACUAUCCUUGAUAGUCUUUUCUGUGGCUGCUGCUGUUGCUUACAUGUGGGUCAAAGGCACGGCGGAGCCCCAGAGGAGCCGACACAGACUAGUGUUGUUGAUCCUGCCAUGGGUGGUGCUGGUGGAGCCCCUUGUGGAGCUGCCCCUGGCUGUCAUCAUCACCACCUCUCUCUCUCUCUCUCUCUCUCUCUCUCUCUCCUCUCUCUCUCUCUCUCUCUCUCUCUCUCUCUCUCUCGUGUUUUUAAGUGUGUGUAGGCCUACUGAGUGUUGGCCUCACUUCACUCAACCAAACCUGACCUGCCAUCACUUGUAGAAGAGACAUCUGGUGGGCCAUGUGUAGCGACCCCGCGUUGUCUGUCAGGAUCACCCCCACAGAGACAGCACCACCAGCAGGAGAGGGCAUCCACCUCCUCCUCCAGCAGCUGGCCACAGCACAGGGCACAGAGCAAGCAGGUGGUGACGCAGAGGGUGGCCUGCCACCCCCCCCCCCCUGCAUCAGCCUCUCCCCUGCAUCAGCAACACUCAACACCACGUGCUUCACUUCAUACUCAUUCGUGCAAGCCUCUCUCUCUCUCUCUCUCUCUCUCUCUCUCUCUCUCUCUCUCUCUCUCUCUCUCUCUCUCUCUCUCUCUCUC